UCCCCUUCAGUUGCAUGCAUCCCAGUAGU
Molecule: non-coding RNA, 29 nt
Filed under: Mus musculus (house mouse)
Lineage: Eukaryota; Metazoa; Chordata; Mammalia; Rodentia; Muridae
Source: RNAcentral